CUGGGUUCUUCACCUUCAGGCCUUUGAAGCAACCGGAGCUCUGCUUUCAGAAACCAAUUCUUGGAGAUCAGAAGUUUGAUCAAUCUGCGUUCUUCUUUCCUCCAAUUCCAUUUCUUCCAUCUCCGCCUAACAUUGGCGGAAUCCCGCUGCCACCCAAUCCACUUCAGCCACCACCAUCUAUUCUGCCACCAGUUUUUCCACAGCCACCGCCAUCCCUUCUUCCACCACUGGUGCCACAGCCACCACCAUCCCUUCUGCCACCACUUGUGCCUACGUUACCUCCAAUUCCAUUUCUCACUCCACCACCACCCCCGCCGGCCUUCCACUUCCCUCCUUUCCCGUUCCUUCCAAAUCCUCUGUUUCCUGGUAUCCCACCAGC
This 379-nucleotide long non-coding RNA is filed under the name Phoenix dactylifera (date palm). RNAcentral's name for it is "long non-coding RNA (PDAC_LNC005901)". The record is from RNAcentral. Lineage: Eukaryota; Viridiplantae; Streptophyta; Magnoliopsida; Arecales; Arecaceae.